This is a non-coding RNA of Canis lupus familiaris (dog), 88 nucleotides long. NCBI's taxonomy places the organism in Eukaryota, Metazoa, Chordata, Mammalia, Carnivora, Canidae. The record is from Rfam.
CUGGGGAGGCCGGAUCCCGGGAUGUGUCCGGCGCCCUGUGCUCCGGAGCCUGCGCUGUUGGAUUCACGCUCCCGCCCCGCAGCCCCCU